CCAAAGGCUCUUUUCAGAGCCACUCCCGUUUUCGGAAAGGGCGCUGU
Non-coding RNA from Oryctolagus cuniculus (rabbit), 47 nucleotides. The record is from Rfam. Lineage: Eukaryota; Metazoa; Chordata; Mammalia; Lagomorpha; Leporidae.